Molecule: long non-coding RNA, 1122 nt
Filed under: Monodelphis domestica (gray short-tailed opossum)
Lineage: Eukaryota; Metazoa; Chordata; Mammalia; Didelphimorphia; Didelphidae
Description: lncRNA (ENSMODG00000048864.1)
Source: RNAcentral
GUGCAGAAGCAGUUAGGUGAAAAACAUCUAUUAGGUCCUACUAUGUGCAAGGCAUUCUGCUAAGUCCUCAGCGUACAAGGUCAAGCAAAAUGACAGGUGCUGGUCUUGAGAUCACAGUGUAAUGGGGGAGGCAACAUGCAACAAUAGAUGCCAACAAGCUAUGCAUUAUUCAGAAAAAUUUAAAUAAUUAGCAAAUAGAAUGUCCUAGAACCAAAGAGGAUCAGAAAAGACUUCCUGAAGAAGUUGGGAUUUGAAGGAAGCCAGGGAUAAUGAAAAAGUAUCAGUCAUGGUAGAAGGUAGUGUGACAGGCUGGCACUAAAGAAAAAGUGCCAGGCUGAAGAGUGGGUGAAACUGAUCACUUUGAUGGGGGAGGGGCCUGAAGGGAUUGGAAUCUUGAGAAGACUCUAGCUAGUAGAGGAGUUGGUCUCUCAGUCUUGAGAAGCCAAAGAGAGAAAGUUGAAAAAGACUUUCUCCUGCGGGUUACUCACUUUUUCCUGCUUGUGACUGGAAAUCUUUCCCCCCAACAUUCCCCAAUUGAAAAAGACUAUUGAAGAGGAAAACAGAGAAAGACUUUUUAAAACUCUAUAUGACUUUAUUUCAGUUCCUGUUGCCCUGAGUCUGAACUGUGACAGAGGGUCCAAACCCAGGGUACACUUCUGGAAUUUUAAUUUGGUGAACAUUGGACAUAAGGAACUUGGAUUUGUUGUCAUUUUGUGAUUCAAAUAUCUAUAUUAUAUAGAUAUAAAUCUUGAUUGUAAUGCAUUAUUUAACUGGAAAAACUGAUGUAAGGAAGAAGAUAAGACAACCUCAGUAAAUCUGAACUGAGUUUAGCCUCUACUAUAUGCCACCUAUAAAAUAAUUUUUUCUCAUCUCUGCCAUGUUUGCUAUUGCGGCCUCAAACAUUAUGCAGCCAGUGGUGUAUCACAUAGAUUUCUUCUUUGCCUUUUAAGGAGGUCUAUAAGAGUAUAUCCUAACAUGGUCACUCAAAGCUGACUUACAGAAUAACUACUUUAGUCUUAAGUAGGCACAUCAGAUUUUUCAUCCAUGCAUGUCUCUUAUAUGGCACUCCAGUUAUAAGUAGCAUUCAAUAAAGAGAUACAAAUAGCUUUCUCUGUGGUCGAG